This 407-nucleotide long non-coding RNA is filed under the name Cricetulus griseus (Chinese hamster). Its description in RNAcentral is "lncRNA (ENSCGRG00015029414.1)". Lineage: Eukaryota; Metazoa; Chordata; Mammalia; Rodentia; Cricetidae. The record is from RNAcentral.
GGGUGACAACAAUAGCAAUGGAGUGUCUUCUACAUUGUGGUAUCAUAGGUGCAUACUGUGGCCCUGAAGAGAAGAAAGAAGCACAGCACCAGCAAGACUGAGUGGGAAACAAAGAUCCACAUGCUGGUCAAGGGAUCUCUUCCCUGGACCUGGAAGAGAGGCCACUGGCCCACCUGGAGCCUGAUGGACUCUAUCAUAUGCAAAUAUAGGAAGGAUUCCUGGCAGCCUAUUCAGGGUCAGACCCCUAAUGCUGAUUAAAAAGUGGAAUUGUCCUUCAGGUGACAGAAGUAUCUUCAGGUAGGGAUGAGCUCCCUAAGUACAGCACAGUCAGCCCUUAAAACAUGUACAUACAAAUAACAACAAUGGACUCAGCAGGGUGUAUUCAUAUAUUUCAGGAUACUUAUUCA